This is a long non-coding RNA of Apodemus sylvaticus (European woodmouse), 7309 nucleotides long. RefSeq lists it as uncharacterized. NCBI's taxonomy places the organism in Eukaryota, Metazoa, Chordata, Mammalia, Rodentia, Muridae. The record is from RefSeq and is a predicted model, not a curated record. The transcript is spliced from 2 exons.
CCAAACACAGUGUGUUUUAGAGAAAUGCUGUGAGGAGAUUGCUCCCAGCUUGCUAGCUUCAGGACAACCUAGGGUCUUUGUCACUGUGAGCAGACCGAGGAGGUGUUCUCUCUCAGGCAGGAAAUGCUGGAGUUCUGCCAAGAAAGCUGUAAACCUGAGGAAGCCACCUGGCCUUCGAGUUCCCUCUUUCAUGAGAAAGUAACUUUGUUUGUAAUUAUAAGAAGCACCUCAUCUAAGAGUUGGACUGCUGACAGAUUUCUCAGUCUGCAAAGAGGCUUGGGUCACUUUGAACAAAGAUAAGCUGUUGCUAGGGAAACAGCACCUGGUGUAAACCGGAAACUGGAAAUCUUUAUUCUGCUUUGCCUUUAAAAGAAGUUGAAACUCGUUUGAAUAAAGUGCACAUGGACUGACUAUGGCUGUGUGCCCCCUGUGUCCUGUUAAGGAGGCUCUACCCUUGGGAGACAACACACCAGACACUGAUGAAGGGCACCCACUUACGGGGACUGGAGUAAGGAAGUUUUGCAGGAGGGCCAGAAACUUUGGUGAGUGAACCUUGUUAUAAAUGAAAAACUCUUCUUUCUUAAAAACUUGUUGUUCAGGGUGCCUACCAAAAAUCUUCCCUAUUACAGGGGAAAGGGGGCAAGCUAUCUAUUCCUAAUAUCUCUUUUCUGCAGCAUGUGUGAUUUCUCUUCUGAAGCACAUGUACAGGUAAAUGAGUAUAUAUGUAAAUAUGUAUGAAUAUAAGUGGAGUUGAUUGUGACUGAAGGUUGGGCCUGGCCAGAGAGAAUGUGGGUGUAUGAAUGUUUGAAAAUAUAAGUGACUGUGUAUAUUUGUCUGUGUAAAGCAUUUUAAUUCUUUUUCUUUCCUUUAAAGCAGCACCAGCAAUCAAUCUUUUCACUUAAUUCCUAGCUGCUAAGUAGUAUGUGUUAAUUUCCAGAUAUUAGCAUUUGUUAAAGUGCUACAAGUGGUAAAGAGUUAAGUUCUUAGCACAGAAUAGUAAGAAAGUUAAGUUCACAGAGAAUUAUAACUUUAAUAAAGCACAGAGUUAAAGAGAAAAGGAGCUAGUAUUUUUGAUCAUAGAAUAAGCAAGAAAGUUUUUAGAAUCUUUUAGAAGUUACCAGUAAGCCUUCAGUAUAGAUCCUGAAAAUUGUCAAAGAAUGAAAAGGGAUGUCGAAAAGGCUGUUUGGUAAGGGGAGAAAAUUCCUAUAAAGUUUGUGUUAAUGUGGUCCUUCGUUUUGGUAGCGCUUUAGGCUAUGAGAUGUAUACUUACUUGUCAUGGGCUGGUGUUCACAAAGCAACCUUCCUAUAGCCGUUUUUCCCAUAAAUUUUUUAACCUUCCUAUAAUCAGCCUUACUUGUACUUGCAGGACCAGUACAGAAAAUAUAGAUAAGGGAGCUCAUAAAAAGGAAAAUGAGGAAGAUAAUAUAUUUAGCAACCUUAAAGGUUAAGAUAAGACUUCGAGUUAGCAAUGAGAGAGAAAAAGAGUUUCAGAGAGGAAAAACCUAUCAAAGAAAUUCUGUAGAGAGAGAAGGGAGAUGAAAGUAAGCUGUUCCGCAGGUGGGCACAGAGGCACACAGCUGUGACAGAGGUCGCAGGCUGCUGGAGUGUCUCCAGAGGAAGGGCAGAGGCUAAGGCGGCUACAGGAAGCAGGGAAAGAAGUCAGCAUGGUCUGGAGAGGGAGCAACAUGGCAAGCACCAGAGGACAGCACAGCACUGAAGACUUACAGCUCCAGUAUGGGUCAAGUAUUAGCAUUCCUGGUUUUCACGCAGUUUGCCCCAAAUUUAAAUUAUAUAAACUAACAUAUGUUAUACAGAUUAAAUAUUAAUUAUAUACAUUGAAUAUAAGUUAUAUACCUUAUUGUGUAUUAUAUACAGUAAAUAUAAGUCAUAUGCAUUAAAUAUUAAUUAUAUACUUUGAAUGUAGACUAUAUGCAUUCAAUAUAGAUUAUAACACUGAAUGUGAUCUCUACAUUAGUGUAUACAUAAUAUACAGUGAAAAUUGUACACAUUAAAUAUUAAUGAUAUCCUUUAAAUAAAAUUCAUAUAUAAUAAAAUAUGAAUUAAAUAUGAGCUAUAAUCAUAAUUUCGCAUGUCCACAAGGACAGGGACUUAUGGGACGAGCCUGUGGAGCUCUAAAAAAUUUUCCUCCACGGGCUAUUGUCAUUUCAAAGUUCAAGAAUUUUAAUAUUGAUUAAUGGAGUUCUGAUAAGUUAAUGGAACAUUGGUAAUUUACAAUUCAGCCACAAGGUCAAGAUUUUAAUUUCUCUUUGUUUGUUUUCUGAAUAUAAACUUAAAGAUGCUUCUCAUCAUGCAAAAAAAUUUCUGUUCAAUCUAUAUUUAUAGGUGUAUAAGAGACAUCUGUUAACUAAAUUUCUAAACUAUGGACUCAAUACAAUAAUAAAUGCUAAUGAAUAUUCUUUUAUAAACUAAAGUUUUGUAAAUAUAAGCUUCAAGGAAUUAAUAGCCCUGAAACUUGGAUUCACCAAUCAUAGAUCAAAUGGAUUCCAGAUAAGCAUAUCUGCCUGUUCUUGAAAACAAUAUUUUUUUCUUGGUCUUGGGAUUUCUUACAUUCCAUAAUUGUUAGACAAUUUUGAUUUCUGUUCCUAGUCUAUAUUUGUCUGAGCAGAUUUUCACCUGGCUGACAGACUCCAUCCAGGGAUUAGCUGUGGAGCUGUUCACCUCUGGAAUUGCUGAAGGCUGAUGUGAUUGUUCCCUGUAUUUCAUCUGGAUUAGCUAAGCAGAUUAUUUUUUUAAUGAAUGUUUCAUUGUCCAGCCUUUGACUAGCAUUUAAACCUCCAUCUAAUGUUGGCUCAAAAAGGCCAUCCUUUAGAAUUGAUUUAUACUAGGCAUACUUUUUCUAAAACUUUAACUACUUUUGAAGAUAUACUAUCUGUAUUGAUACAAAUGGGUCAUAAAAGAAGUAUGUAAAUAAAUGGGUAUGACUGUGCUUCUAUUAUAUUUCCUGUAAAGAUAAAGUAGAGUAUUUGUAUGCUGUGAGUAAGUCAUUGCUGAUAACUUUAAUACAUUUUUGAGUCAAUUUAAGUAUCAUUUGCCAAAAAGUAAAUUAUCAGACUUUUUAAAGAAAAAUGUAUUUGUGAUAAAUGAUGUCAUGGCUCAAAAAUCAUUAUUAUGUGUUCUCACAAUUUUUACAGAUGGGUCAGAAAUUAAAAGUGCUUUUUGGACUCUUUCUGAUUUUCAAGUUUUUCUGGCCAAAUAUACUUCUGUUCAGCAAAAUGAGCUGUAAGCUGUAACUAGAACUUUUCAAAAGUGUCCACGAGAUAUUAAUUUAGAGGUAGACUCAGCUUACGUUGUAGAGAUUGUAAAAACAGAUUUAUAUUUCAGUUAUUUCUAAUUAUAAAGAGCCAUUGAGAACACUUUUCUGAGGUUGCAAAAUGAAUUGAGAACUUGUAAUUGCAGAACAUCUGUUACUCAUAUUAGAGCUCAUACUAAGUUGCCUGGAUUCAUUUCUAAAGGAAAUUAAUAUGUGGAUUAUUUGGUUACUUUUGUUUCUGCAGAAGAUGAGCAUAAGGCUUUACAUACUAAUGCUAACAAAUUACAUAUACAAUAUAAAAUUCCUUAUCAGCAAGCUAAGGCUAUCAUCUCACAGUGUCCCAUUUGUAAACCUAUGCAUAUUCUCAUGGUCCCAAAUGGAGUUGAUCCUCGGGAACGCAAGUCAAUGAGAUUUGACAAAUGGUUGUCACUCACAUACCUGAAUUUGGAAGAUAUUGUUAUGGGCAUGUAUCUGUUAAUACAUAUUCUAAAUUUAUAUGGGGUACACCACUUACUGGAGAAACUGCUAAUCAUGUAAUGAAGCAUUUAACUGAAGCUUUUGCUAGUAUGGAAAUUGCUAUAUUUAUUAAAGCAAAUAAUGGUCCAGCUUUAAAAUCUUAUAAAUUUAAGCAAUUUUGUAUGUAUUUUGAAAUUAAAGCUAUAACAGGAAUAGAAUAUAAUCCUCAAGGACAACAAUACUGGAAAGAGCUCACUUUAAAACAAAUUAAAAAAAAAAAAACAACAAAGGAGGAAAAAUAGAUGAACCUUUUAUGUUUCUCUAUAAGCAAUUGCAAGCUUCACCUGGAACCCUUACUCAUCAAGAUUUAAUGCUUAAUUUCCUUAAUUUACCUCAAGGGGAUAUACUUUCUAAGGCAGAAGAACAUUUUGAUUCAAAAUCAAAUUCAGAAAGUUUUCAUUUACAAAAAGUCUGGGUUAGGAUAACUGCUGAUGUAGAAUGGCAAAAAGGAAUGUUGCUAGUUUGAGGGAAAGGGUGUGGUCUUGUAAUUUUCAGGAUGGACAACAACUCUGGUUGCUAGGAAGGUGGAUUCAGAGAGGCUGCGAGGCUGAGGAUCAAAGCAGCAGUGAGGUGCAGAUCCUACUGAUGAAGAACUGCCCAUUCAAGCUGUGGCUUAUUUACCGGGAGUGCACAUUCUGCUUCUAAUUAUAGUUGUACAACAUAUAUGAAAUAUAUUUCUGCUUAUGUAGCUUUGCCUUACUUAAUGCUUAUUGAAAAAUUUAAUUUUUCAUAUUAGGAAAUUACACGUGUUAACUGUAGGUUUAUUCUUGCAUCAGUAAUAACAUAUUGUUUAAUUUUACUUCAUAUUCAAAACAAUGUAGUCAAUGUAUGGCACCUCUUGAAUUCCUUGAUAAAAUCUUAACAAGAAUAAAGCAUAUGUCAGGGAUCAUUGUUGCUGUCAUUUCUUUCUUUAUUUUUUUAAAGAUGUAUUUAUUUAUUAUAUGUGAGUACACUGUAACUGUCUACAGACACUCCAGAAGAGGGCAUCAGAUCUCAUUAUGGAUGGUUGUGAGCCACCAUGUGAUUGCUGGGAUUUGAACUCAGUGCCUCCGGAAGAGCAGUCAGUGCUCUUAACUGCUGAGCCAUCUUCCUAGCCCCGUUGUCGUCAUUUCAAAGUCUUAUUGCUGUGGCUUCUAGAACCUCAGGAGCUGGCGUUACUUUGCAUACUUUUUUGCAAACUAAACAUUUUGUAGAAUAAUGGCAUAACAGUUUUCAUUAAUUGUGGAUUCAUCAGGUGGACAUCCAUGUGAGGCUGCAAACAGAAGUAUUGCAGCAUUUACAGAUGCCUUAAAGCUAUCUGUAUCCUGGUUAGGUUAAAAAUAUUUGAGAGUGCAACAACAGCUGCAGUUAAAUUGAGAUUGGAAUUCUACUACAUUUUGUGCUACUAAUUUUCAAUAUAAUGCCAGUUUUCAAGAUGGGGAAAAGAUUCAACUACAUUUGAAAGAAAAUUCUACUGUUAGAAAGAAUUUUGAACAAUUACAAUACCAAGCGCUGGACACAUUCAAAAAGGAAUUUCCAUCUGACAAUGCAUCUGAUAUUGCUAAAAUCCUAGCUGAUAAAUAGUCUGGAAUGGAUUCUAGAAGUUUACUACAGAGUGUGGCUCGUGCCCUGUUACGUAUUAGCAUUGUCUUAAUUACCAUUUUAGGAUUGGCUAUUUACAAGUGUUGCUUCUGUAAACACACUUCGCAAGUAAGUAACUUAUAGCAAAAUCUUUUCGAAGCUAAAUGAAAAAUAAAAAAUGAGGAAACUGUAGAGAAAUGAGGAUUCUGCUCAUAGCUUCAAAGUAACCUAGGGUCUUUGCCACUCCGCAGACUGAGACCGAGGAGGAGUACUCUCUCAAGCAGGGAAUACUGGAGUUCCUCCGAAUAAGCUGUAAACCCGAGGAAGCCACCUGACCUUCCCGUUCCCUCUCUUACGAGAAACCACUAAGCCUGCAGGACCAAGUGAGCAUUCCUGUCAGGUUUCCCCUCAGACUAAGGCUUCUUUAAAUGUGAGCGGCCAUGCCACGCGGAACCACGUGACUGGAUGGGAAGGUCCAAUAAGAUAUUUCUGGAAAAAUGACAUUUUGGCUAAGAUUCUAGGCUAUUGUGUAUUACGAACUGUUAUAUUUUGCUGUGCAUACAGUUUUCUGUUCUCACAGGAAUAUAAUGGCUCAGUGUUCGAAAACGAAGACUUCACAUUUUCUUAUCAUUGUUCAGCACAUUAAUAACAGAUUAGCGUAUCUCUAGAUUGUAUCAUGUUCAAAUGUCAUAUUUUAAAAUAGGUGUUUGGUGCUGGGAACAUUGCUCACGUGACAGAGGACUCACCCAGCAUUGCCCAGUUUGACUGAAGUCCCAGCUACACCAACAAGCUGUGAUGACACAGGCCUGUGAGCGCCAUUCUCAUGAACUAAAGAGGACGACAGAUCCGAGUUCCAAGGCCAUGCUCCCCUACAAAGAGAGCUUGACAAGGUCCGAAUGAACAAAAUGAGACCUUGUAUCAAAAUUAAAUAAAUAUAAUUAAUGAACUAAUUAGAUUAGCUGAUUAGUUAAGUUAAUUUUAAAAUAAACUGCAUGAUUGGUUAAAAUUGCUGUUUGGUAGCUGAACUUAGUUUCAUUAAAAAUCAUUCACUGAACUUUGGUUUGAAAUGAGGGCAGAAUUGUUUCCAAUAAUUUCUGAAACAGCUGUAAAACAUACUUUCUCCAUUUUGUGUUAUGCAUUUAUACAAAGCAGCUUUCUGAGCACUAAUGAUUAUAUAAAUCAAACUAUCAAUCAACUCUGGCAAAUGCGAAGGCACUCUAUGUCUUUCACUUUCAAAUAUUUAGUCAAUAUUUAUUUCUUAAAAAUAACUAAACAUAGCCAUAUCUUUAAUAUGUGAUUCAUUUUAUCUAUAAUAAAUAGUAAACACGUAUAUAGACCCAAAUUCACCUUAAAAUACGUUUCUUUGGUAUUUAUCAGGAAGCAUUUGCUUUGUAUAUCUAUAUACAUAAAACAUAAUGCACUUAGGUAAUAUAAAAAAAUUUUUCUGGUGGAAAGGAGUCUCAAGUAGGAAAUGUUUAGGCAACAUAUACUCUUUCCAAUUGAAUGAAGGGUUUUCCGAAGUACUGAUGUAAGAUAUUCUUAGACAGGAAGCUAGUUAUAGACGUUGUUCUACAUAUCACAAAUAACACUAGAGUCUGAUGAUAGUAUGUUUAUUACUUUUUGGAAGUGAGUGUUUCUGGUGGGACUUAAACCACAAACACUCCAUAAAGUAGGUUUAUGACACUGUAGUAAUUAAUAUUAAAAAAUAGAGAGGCUGGGGAUUUUCUCAGAAUCAAGUACAUGUCCAAGACUCUAGGCUUCAUCCCCACCACCUCAAAAAGAGAGGGAUAGACAAUUAAAUUGUAGUUGUCUGUAGAAGUCAGGUCUGGCUCUUCCACCCAGCCCCAUGCUCCCAGAAAUAAGACCCAGACUGAAAUAUAUUUGUAUAUACUGUGACCAUAUAGCUAGGCUCUUCUCUGACUAGCUCACAUCUUAAAUAAACCCAUGUAUUCUGCCAUGUGA